UUCUGUAAGCCUGUGAAGGUGUGUCGUGAGGCAUGCUGGAGGUAUCAGAAGUGCGAAUGCUGACAUAAGUAACGAUAAAGCGGGUGAAAAGCCCGCUCGCCGGAAGACCAAGGGUUCCUGUCCAACGUUAAUCGGGGCAGGGUGAGUCGACCCCUAAGGCGAGGCCGAAAGGCGUAGUCGAUGGGAAACGGGUUAAUAUUCCCGUACUUGGUGUUACUGCGAAGGGGGGACGGAGAAGGCUAUGUUGGCCGGGCGACGGUUGUCCCGGUUUAAGCGUGUAGGUGUGUGUUCCAGGUAAAUCCGGUUCACUUUAACACUGAGGCGUGAUGACGAGGCACUACGGUGCUGAAGCAACAAAUGCCCUGCUUCCAGGAAAAGCCUCUAAGCAUCAGGUAACAUCAAAUCGUACCCCAAACCGACACAGGUGGUCAGGUAGAGAAUACCAAGGCGCUUGAGAGAACUCGGGUGAAGGAACUAGGCAAAAUGGUGCCGUAACUUCGGGAGAAGGCACGCUGACACGUAGGUGAAGUGAUUUACUCAUGGAGCUGAAGUCAGUCGAAGAUACCAGCUGGCUGCAACUGUUUAUUAAAAACACAGCACUGUGCAAACACGAAAGUGGACGUAUACGGUGUGACGCCUGCCCGGUGCCGGAAGGUUAAUUGAUGGGGUCAGCGCAAGCGAAGCUCCUGAUCGAAGCCCCGGUAAACGGCGGCCGUAACUAUAACGGUCCUAAGGUAGCGAAAUUCCUUGUCGGGUAAGUUCCGACCUGCACGAAUGGCGUAAUGAUGGCCAGGCUGUCUCCACCCGAGACUCAGUGAAAUUGAACUCGCUGUGAAGAUGCAGUGUACCCGCGGCAAGACGGAAAGACCCCGUGAACCUUUACUAUAGCUUGACACUGAACAUUGAGCCUUGAUGUGUAGGAUAGGUGGGAGGCUUUGAAGCGUGGACGCCAGUCUGCGUGGAGCCGACCUUGAAAUACCACCCUUUAAUGUUUGAUGUUCUAACGUGGACCCGUGAUCCGGGUUGCGGACAGUGUCUGGUGGGUAGUUUGACUGGGGCGGUCUCCUCCUAAAGAGUAACGGAGGAGCACGAAGGUUGGCUAAUCCUGGUCGGACAUCAGGAGGUUAGUGCAAUGGCAUAAGCCAGCUUGACUGCGAGCGUGACGGCGCGAGCAGGUGCGAAAGCAGGUCAUAGUGAUCCGGUGGUUCUGAAUGGAAGGGCCAUCGCUCAACGGAUAAAAGGUACUCCGGGGAUAACAGGCUGAUACCGCCCAAGAGUUCAUAUCGACGGCGGUGUUUGGCACCUCGAUGUCGGCUCAUCACAUCCUGGGGCUGAAGUAGGUCCCAAGGGUAUGGCUGUUCGCCAUUUAAAGUGGUACGCGAGCUGGGUUUAGAACGUCGUGAGACAGUUCGGUCCCUAUCUGCCGUGGGCGCUGGAGAACUGAGGGGGGCUGCUCCUAGUACGAGAGGACCGGAGUGGACGCAUCACUGGUGUUCGGGUUGUCAUGCCAAUGGCACUGCCCGGUAGCUAAAUGCGGAAGAGAUAAGUGCUGAAAGCAUCUAAGCACGAAACUUGCCCCGA
This 1581-nucleotide ribosomal RNA is filed under the name Salmonella enterica. Its description in RNAcentral is "partial 23S ribosomal RNA". It matches the Rfam family "Bacterial large subunit ribosomal RNA", at positions 1239 to 2802 of the family's 2925-position model. Lineage: Bacteria; Pseudomonadati; Pseudomonadota; Gammaproteobacteria; Enterobacterales; Enterobacteriaceae. The record is from RNAcentral.